Molecule: long non-coding RNA, 2469 nt
Organism: Siniperca chuatsi (mandarin fish)
Lineage: Eukaryota; Metazoa; Chordata; Actinopteri; Centrarchiformes; Sinipercidae
Exons: 3
Source: RefSeq, a predicted model, not a curated record
GGUAGCAGUGAGUGGUGGCAGCAGUGUUACAAGAAGAAUUGCAAAUAAGCAGUGCAACAGCAGAGGAAAGACUGAGUAGCGCAUUUAACGCUCAAAAAUGUAUGCUUGGAACAGAUCUGUAUGAAAUAUUAUGAGGAUUGAUGAGAUGACCAUCAGUACAUGCAUAUAUGCUUGAGGUCUGCAAUGAGUGUGGCAGCAGUGUAAACAGUACUGUAGAGCAGAAGCUCAAGUCAAGAUGACCUUUUUUCUGGUGAUGGAUGCCAAAGUUGCAGUGAUCUCUUGUGGACUGGCAGUGAUUUUAACAUCUGACGUGACCAGAUUUUCAGAUUAUUCAGAACACAUCAAGAGCCUGUCAAGGUCAAUAUUUCACAUGUCUUCCUGAAGGCCGCUCCAUACCAGCCAGGUACAGCUUUUCCUGGAUCUAUACCAUCAUGCGCCCAGUGGAUGAUUCCUGCUAGUGUGGGAUCAUCGGUAGCACCACGUGGAGAAUGACCUUUCCAGCCAUGUGUCACCUGCCCAUGAUGCUCCAGGUGGCCCUCUCAGCAUAGCGUUUCUGAAUGUGUAUGUUGUAAUGCUCCAGUGAAGCAACUCAAAAAAUAGGAAAUAGAAAAGAGGAUCACAGCAAAGUAUUGGACUCAAGCACACACACACACACACAUACUGCCACAGAUACACACUAUUUUGUAUUCAGCAGCAGUUGGCAAGUGUUUGGUUUAAAAGAAGCCGUUUACACAGUUGGUAUUAAAGCUGCACAAGGCAAAAGAUGGCAGCACCAAGACUAUCAAACCUUGUUGAGUCCAGCUUCAUGUGGAAAGAACAAUCCUUCUGCUGUUCAGGAAAACAUUUGCUCUUUAUAUGAUUUCUUAAUUAAUGAAGCAUUCACAAUCAGGUGCAAGCAGGUACUAUUAAGAACUCUGCUGAUGAAGAUGCUCUGAGAAAUCUUUGAUGUCACAAGAAACCAAAUUCACAUAUACCUUUUUAGAGCGUCAAUUUUUUGUUGUUGUUUGCCUUCUGGGUUUGAUCAUCGGGACAUUUAAAGUUACUGUACACUGUGAGUAUUUUUUUGCAGGGUGCAUUUCUUGUUAUUUGAAUCUUUUUUUUUUUUUGUUUUUACCAUGAAUCUUAUUUUUUAAUUCACUUGCUGGGGUGAUGGCAAAAAUACAAAUGUGUUGCAUGCAGAAAUUGUUCUAGCAAAAAAGGUAUACAGUAUAAAAAGUAUUGUGAAUCUUCGAAGGAUCAUGAUGCAACAGGUGCAGCAGCUUCUCACAAAUUUUAAUGAACUAAUUCAUCACUUUAUGCCUGAAUUUAUUCAUCACUUUAUACAAAAAUAUCAUUGAAAUAAAAUGGAAAUAAAUAAUAACAAUAAUGAUUUCUGAACACUAAAAAUACAACCAAAAAAAAACAACUUUCCACCCAUGUCUGAUGCACAUCUAAUCAAGGCACAGUUAAGGCUGUUUUGUACACUGUCCAUCACUUGCACUCACUUUAUUUACAAAGUUUGUGUGUGUAAAUAAAGCGAGACAGUGCGCAGGAUGUUUUUUUUCUUUCACAGUCAGAGUUUUUUUUAUCUGGAACAUCCGUCCAUAAGACUUUCUGGUGUGCAAGAACCUUUCAGUUAUUAACAGCAGGUGAUUAUCAACUCUUUGAUCCAGGAGCACCAAACAUGAGUUUUCAAAACAGGUGCGCUCCUAAAAACUGAUUUCCCAUGUGAAGGUGACAAUACGUUAAUUGGAUGGAUUGCCUACCUCAAGCAAGGUUAAAGUCUCUGCAUGUUGAUUUUCAUAGCAUAGGGAAAUUAACAGAGGCCACUGACUGCUUAGCAGGUAGAAAACAAGUGUUAAGACUUUAGAAAAUGCCAGGCACAAUGUCAAAAAUAUGACAUUUGCAGUUAAGGGGCUAAAACACCCAAAACCAUCCAAGUGGCCCUUGAAACAAAAACAUUGUUCACGUUCUUUGAGCAACAAGUCAUGAGGGCAGAUUUCCAGGCAUUCAAGGUCCAAAGCCCCCAGGACAGUUCACCUUCUGCUGGAGUCAAAUGAAACCUAACAGGGAUAAUUGCCUUGUUAGGACUUCCCAUGAAGUAAGCUCCCCAGUGAGCUGCCAUGGGAAUGGUCAUGCAUAUAUGGAUGAACCCUGCACUCAGCUAGUAACCACCUGUCUGGCAAUGCAAAUAUUCCAUAGAUGGGGCGGGUAGAUGUGGGUAGUGAUGGCUGACGGAUGAAUGGAAGGACAAAGAGGACGGAGACGAUUAUGUUUUAAUGGUUGACAGCUAUUUUUCAGAGUAAGUGUAGAUGACAGAUGGAUGAUUAGUGUAUGUGUCUGUCUAAUCCAUCUGUACAGAGUCUAUUCACACUCUGUUUACAUAUUACAGGAUGGCAGAGAGAGGUGAAACUCCGGCCACUCUGGCUUCUACACACCCAGGAUUCACCAGGAAGAUUAUGUUUGAUUCUCUGACAGAACGCUCGAUGA